GACGAACGCUAGCGGCAGGCCUAACACAUGCAAGUCGAGGGGUAACGAUGGAGCUUGCUCCAGGCGACGACCGGCGCACGGGUGAGUAACGCGUUUGCAACCUACCUCUAACUGGAAGAUAGCCCGAAGAAAUUCGGAUUAAUAUUCCAUAACACUAUGAUUUGGCAUCUUUUUAUAGUUAAAGUUUCGACGGUUAGAGAUGGGCAUGCGUGACAUUAGCUAGUUGGUGAGGUAACGGCUCACCAAGGCCACGAUGUCUAGGGGGUCUGAGAGGAUGGUCCCCCACACUGGUACUGAGACACGGACCAGACUCCUACGGGAGGCAGCAGUGAGGAAUAUUGGUCAAUGGGCGAAAGCCUGAACCAGCCAUGCCGCGUGAAGGAUGACGGCCCUACGGGUUGUAAACUUCUUUUGUUUGAGAAGAAACCUCCCUACGUGUAGGGGGCUGACGGUAUCGAACGAAUAAGCAUCGGCUAACUCCGUGCCAGCAGCCGCGGUAAUACGGAGGAUGCAAGCGUUAUCCGGAUUCAUUGGGUUUAAAGGGUACGCAGGCGGAAAACUAAGUCAGUGGUGAAAUCCUGCAGCUUAACUGUAGAACUGUCAUUGAUACUGGUUUUCUUGGAUUCAGUUGAGGUAGGCGGAAUGUGUAAUGUAGCGGUGAAAUGCUUAGAUAUUACACAGAACACCGAUUGCGAAGGCAGCUUACUAAACUGCGAUUGACGCUGAGGUACGAAAGCGUGGGUAGCAAACAGGAUUAGAUACCCUGGUAGUCCACGCCGUAAACUAUGAUCACUCGUUGUUGGCAACACAUCGUCAGCGACUGAGCGAAAGCAUUAAGUGAUCCACCUGGGGAGUACGGCCGCAAGGUUGAAACUCAAAGGAAUUGACGGGGGCCCGCACAAGCGGAGGAACAUGUGGUUUAAUUCGAUGAUACGCGAGGAACCUUACCUGGGCUUAAAUGUAGAGCGACGGACCGGGAAACUGGUCUUUCUUCGGACGAUCUACAAGGUGCUGCAUGGCUGUCGUCAGCUCGUGCCGUGAGGUGUCGGGUUAAGUCCCAUAACGAGCGCAACCCUUAUCAUUAGUUGCCAGCGGGUAAUGCCGGGGACUCUAAUGAAACUGCCGGUGUAAACCGAGAGGAAGGUGGGGAUGACGUCAAGU
Molecule: ribosomal RNA, 1161 nt
Filed under: uncultured organism
Description: bacterial SSU rRNA
Rfam family: Bacterial small subunit ribosomal RNA
Source: RNAcentral